GGACCCAUAGCCAAGUGGUAAGGCACGGGACUGCAACUCCCUCACCGCCGGUUCAAAUCCGACUGGGUCCUCCA
RNAcentral lists this transfer RNA (74 nucleotides) under Candidatus Izemoplasmatales bacterium. RNAcentral's name for it is "tRNA-Cys". It matches the Rfam family "tRNA". Rfam says of the family: Transfer RNA (tRNA) molecules are approximately 80 nucleotides in length. Their secondary structure includes four short double-helical elements and three loops (D, anti-codon, and T loops). Lineage: Bacteria; Bacillati; Mycoplasmatota; Mollicutes; Candidatus Izemoplasmatales. The record is from RNAcentral.